GAUUGAAAGCUGGCGUCUUCGGCGUCCGCAUUGUAAUCUCAAGAAGUGUUUUCCGCUUCGGACCAAGCCUAAGUCCCCUGGAAAGGGGCAUCAUAGAGGGUGAUAAUCCCGUACAUGGCUUGGAGCGCCCGAGGCUUUGUGAUACGCUUUCUAAGAGUCGAGUUGUUUGGGAAUGCAGCUCAAAAUGGGUGGUAAAUGCCAUCUAAGGCUAAAUAUUGGGGAGAGACCGAUAGCGAACAAGUACAGUGAUGGAAAGAUGAAAAGAACUUUGAAAAGAGAGUUAAACAGUACGUGAAAUUGCCAAAAGGGAAGGGUAGGAGGUCAGAGAUGCGGCCUGGGAUUCAGCCUUGCUUUUGCUUGGUGUUUUUCCCAGAUUGCAGGCCAACGUCGGUUUUGGGCACUGGAGAAGGGUAGGAGGAACGUGGCACCCCUCGGGGUGUGUUAUAGCCUCCUACUGGAUACAGCGACCGAGACCGAGGACAGCAGCGUACUCGCAAGAGCGGGCCUUCGGGCACCUUUACGCUUAGGGCGUUGGCAUAAUGGCCCUCUACCACCCGUCUU
RNAcentral lists this ribosomal RNA (561 nucleotides) under uncultured Pseudozyma. RNAcentral describes it as "eukaryotic LSU rRNA". It matches the Rfam family "Eukaryotic large subunit ribosomal RNA", at positions 112 to 655 of the family's 3401-position model. The record is from RNAcentral. Lineage: Eukaryota; Fungi; Basidiomycota; Ustilaginomycetes; Ustilaginales; Ustilaginaceae.